This 646-nucleotide long non-coding RNA is filed under the name Gallus gallus (chicken). RNAcentral's name for it is "lncRNA (ENSGALG00010004295.1)". The record is from RNAcentral. Lineage: Eukaryota; Metazoa; Chordata; Aves; Galliformes; Phasianidae.
UGCAGCCCCAAAGGCCAACUGUGUUCUGGGCUGCGUUAAAAGAGGAAUGGCCAGCAGGGAGAGGGAGGUGAUUGUCCCCCUCUACUCAGCUCUUGUGAGGCCCCAUCUGGAGAACUGCUUCCAGGCCUGGGGCCCCCAGUACAGGCAGGACGUGGAGCUCUUAGAGCGGGUCCAGAGGAGGGCCACUAAGAUGAUCAGAGGGCUGGAGCACCUCUCCUAUGAGGAAAGGUUGACGGAACUGGGCUUGUUUAGCUUGGAGAAGAGAAGGCUCCAGGAAGACCUCAUUGUGGCCUUCCAGUACUUGAAGGGAGCAUAUAAACAGGAGGGGGUAUGUCUGUUUAUGAGGGUGGAUAGUGAUAGGACAAGGGGGAAUGGUCUUAAACUGAGACAAGGGAGGUUUAGGCUAGAUAUUAGGAGGAAGUUUUUCACCCAGAGGGUGGUGAUGCACUGGAACAGGUUGCCCAAGGAGGCUGUGGAUGCCCCAUCCCUGGAGGCAUUCAAGGCCAGGCUGGAUGUGUCUCUGGGCAGCCUGGUCUGGUGGUUGGCGACCCUGCACAUAGCAGGGGGGUUGAAACUCGAUGAUCAUUGUGGUCCUUUUCAACCCAGGCCAUUCUAUGAUUCUAUGAUUACACUGAGGCCAUGUCUA